UUUAUAUGAGAGUUUGAUCCUGGCUCAGGAUGAACGCCGGCGGUGUGCCUAAUACAUGCAAGUCGAACGCGUUGGCCCAAUUGAUUGAUGGUGCUUGCACCUGAUUGAUUUUGGUCGCCAACGAGUGGCGGACGGGUGAGUAACACGUAGGUAACCUGCCCAGAAGCGGGGGACAACAUUUGGAAACAGAUGCUAAUACCGCAUAACAGCGUUGUUCGCAUGAACAACGCUUAAAAGAUGGCUUCUCGCUAUCACUUCUGGAUGGACCUGCGGUGCAUUAGCUUGUUGGUGGGGUAACGGCCUACCAAGGCGAUGAUGCAUAGCCGAGUUGAGAGACUGAUCGGCCACAAUGGGACUGAGACACGGCCCAUACUCCUACGGGAGGCAGCAGUAGGGAAUCUUCCACAAUGGGCGCAAGCCUGAUGGAGCAACACCGCGUGAGUGAAGAAGGGUUUCGGCUCGUAAAGCUCUGUUGUUAAAGAAGAACACGUAUGAGAGUAACUGUUCAUACGUUGACGGUAUUUAACCAGAAAGUCACGGCUAACUACGUGCCAGCAGCCGCGGUAAUACGUAGGUGGCAAGCGUUAUCCGGAUUUAUUGGGCGUAAAGAGAGUGCAGGCGGUUUUCUAAGUCUGAUGUGAAAGCCUUCGGCUUAACCGGAGAAGUGCAUCGGAAACUGGAUAACUUGAGUGCAGAAGAGGGUAGUGGAACUCCAUGUGUAGCGGUGGAAUGCGUAGAUAUAUGGAAGAACACCAGUGGCGAAGGCGGCUACCUGGUCUGCAACUGACGCUGAGACUCGAAAGCAUGGGUAGCGAACAGGAUUAGAUACCCUGGUAGUCCAUGCCGUAAACGAUGAGUGCUAGGUGUUGGAGGGUUUCCGCCCUUCAGUGCCGGAGCUAACGCAUUAAGCACUCCGCCUGGGGAGUACGACCGCAAGGUUGAAACUCAAAGGAAUUGACGGGGGCCCGCACAAGCGGUGGAGCAUGUGGUUUAAUUCGAAGCUACGCGAAGAACCUUACCAGGUCUUGACAUCUUGCGCCAACCCUAGAGAUAGGGCGUUUCCUUCGGGAACGCAAUGACAGGUGGUGCAUGGUCGUCGUCAGCUCGUGUCGUGAGAUGUUGGGUUAAGUCCCGCAACGAGCGCAACCCUUGUUACUAGUUGCCAGCAUUAAGUUGGGCACUCUAGUGAGACUGCCGGUGACAAACCGGAGGAAGGUGGGGACGACGUCAGAUCAUCAUGCCCCUUAUGACCUGGGCUACACACGUGCUACAAUGGACGGUACAACGAGUCGCGAACUCGCGAGGGCAAGCAAAUCUCUUAAAACCGUUCUCAGUUCGGACUGCAGGCUGCAACUCGCCUGCACGAAGUCGGAAUCGCUAGUAAUCGCGGAUCAGCAUGCCGCGGUGAAUACGUUCCCGGGCCUUGUACACACCGCCCGUCACACCAUGAGAGUUUGUAACACCCAAAGUCGGUGGGGUAACCUUUUAGGAGCCAGCCGCCUAAGGUGGGACAGAUGAUUAGGGUGAAGUCGUAACAAGGUAGCCGUAGGAGAACCUGCGGCUGGAUCACCUCCUUUCUAAGGAA
This 1585-nucleotide ribosomal RNA is filed under the name Limosilactobacillus fermentum. Its description in RNAcentral is "bacterial SSU rRNA". It matches the Rfam family "Bacterial small subunit ribosomal RNA". Lineage: Bacteria; Bacillati; Bacillota; Bacilli; Lactobacillales; Lactobacillaceae. The record is from RNAcentral.